UACAGAGGGUGCAAGCGUUGUUCGGAAUUACUGGGCGUAAAGCGCGUGUAGGCGGCGGCGUAAGUCGGGUGUGAAAUCCCUCAGCUCAACUGAGGAAGUGCACUCGAUACUGUGUCGCUUGAAUGUCGGAGGGGAUGGCGGAAUUCCCGGUGUAGAGGUGAAAUUCGUAGAUAUCGGGAGGAACACCUGUGGCGAAGGCGGCCAUCUGGACGACAAUUGACGCUGAGACGCGAAAGCGUGGGUAGCAAACAGG
RNAcentral lists this ribosomal RNA (253 nucleotides) under uncultured bacterium. Its description in RNAcentral is "partial 16S ribosomal RNA". It matches the Rfam family "Bacterial small subunit ribosomal RNA", at positions 524 to 776 of the family's 1533-position model. The record is from RNAcentral.